RNAcentral lists this ribosomal RNA (432 nucleotides) under uncultured bacterium. Its description in RNAcentral is "bacterial SSU rRNA". It matches the Rfam family "Bacterial small subunit ribosomal RNA", at positions 1063 to 1496 of the family's 1533-position model. The record is from RNAcentral.
UGUCGUGAGAUGUUGGGUUAAGUCCCGCAACGAGCGCAACCCUUAUUGUUAGUUGCCAGCAUUAAGUUGGGCACUCUAGCAAGACUGCCGGUGACAAACCGGAGGAAGGUGGGGAUGACGUCAAAUCAUCAUGCCCCUUAUGACCUGGGCUACACACGUGCUACAAUGGACGGUACAACGAGUCGCAAGACCGCGAGGUUUAGCAAAUCUCUUAAAGCCGUUCUCAGUUCGGAUUGUAGGCUGCAACUCGCCUACAUGAAGUCGGAAUCGCUAGUAAUCGCGGAUCAGCAUGCCGCGGUGAAUACGUUCCCGGGCCUUGUACACACCGCCCGUCACACCAUGAGAGUUUGUAACACCCAAAGCCGGUGGGGUAACCUUUUGGAGCCAGCCGUCUAAGGUGGGACAGAUGAUUAGGGUGAAGUCGUAACAAGG